RNAcentral lists this ribosomal RNA (468 nucleotides) under uncultured bacterium. Its description in RNAcentral is "partial 16S ribosomal RNA". It matches the Rfam family "Bacterial small subunit ribosomal RNA", at positions 28 to 507 of the family's 1533-position model. The record is from RNAcentral.
GACGAACGCUGGCGGCGUGCUUAACACAUGCAAGUCGAACGGAAAGGCCCUGCUUUUGUGGGGUGCUCGAGUGGCGAACGGGUGAGUAACAAGUGAGUAACCUUCCCUUGACUUUGGGAUAACUUCAGGAAACUGGGGCUUAUACCGGAUAGGAGCUCCUGCUGCAUUGUGGGGGUUGGAAAGUUUCGGCGGUUGGGGAUGGACUCGCGGCUUAUCAGCUUGUUGGUGGGGUAGUGGCUUACCAAGGCUUUGACGGGUAGCCGGCCUGAGAGGGUGACCGGCCACAUUGGGACUGAGAUACGGCCCAGACUCCUACGGGAGGCAGCAGUGAGGAAUAUUGCACAAUGGGCGGAAGCCUGAUGCAGCAACGCCGCGUGCGGGAUGACGGCCUUCGGGUUGUAAACCGCUUUCGCCUGUGACGAAGCGUGAGUGACGGUAAUGGGUAAAGAAGCACCGGCUAACUACGUG